CAGUAGCCACGGUAAUACGAGGGGGGCAAGCGUUGUUCGGAAUUAUUGGGCGUAAAGGGUGCGUAGGCGGUUUGGCAAGUCUUAUGUGAAAUCUUCGGGCUCAACCCGAAGUCUGCAUGAGAAACUGCCGGGCUUGAGUAUGGGAGAGGUGAGUGGAAUUUCCGGUGUAGCGGUGAAAUGCGUAGAUAUCGGAAGGAACACCUGUGGCGAAAGCGGCUCACUGGACCAUAACUGACGCUGAGGCACGAAGGCUAGGGGAGCAAACAGGAUUAGAUACCCCGGUAGUCCCUGUCUCUUAUAC
This 301-nucleotide ribosomal RNA is filed under the name uncultured bacterium. RNAcentral describes it as "partial 16S ribosomal RNA". It matches the Rfam family "Bacterial small subunit ribosomal RNA", at positions 509 to 807 of the family's 1533-position model. The record is from RNAcentral.